Molecule: long non-coding RNA, 1357 nt
Filed under: Oryctolagus cuniculus (rabbit)
Lineage: Eukaryota; Metazoa; Chordata; Mammalia; Lagomorpha; Leporidae
Description: lncRNA (ENSOCUG00000031370.1)
Source: RNAcentral
AUGGAAGCCGAGGACGGUGUUUUAUUCAUCAUCAAUGGAAGGGAGCAACCCAGACAACCGUCACCAGCCGCAGUAGUUCAUUCUGGGGUGUGCACCCGCCUGGGACCCGAGGACGUUUCCACAAGAGACCAGCAUUGGAAUCUGUGGCCUGAAGAAAGGCACGCACCUCCCACUAAACCUCCUUCCCCUCUCUCAUUGUUGCUGCACGAAAGACCUGCCUCCUCUCUGGAUCCGUUGGUUAAGCAGAGGCACCUGCACAUAGGAAGUGGCUGGGAUGAAGGCCUGGCCCUGGACUCUUCCUCUGCUCUCCCAGAAUUUGCACUUAACUGGUACCCACAAAUUACUCACCCUGGUUAGGACGCUCCAAUUUGGGCAUUUUUUCUUUUCUUGAAAGGCAGGAAGACACAGAGAGAGAGAGAGAUCUUCCACCUGCUGGAUUACUCCUCAAAUGCCUGCAGCAGCCAGGGCUGGACCAGGUCAAAGUCAGGAGCCUGGAACUCAAUCCAGGUCUCUCCCAUGGAUGACAGGGCCUCAAGUUCUUGAGCCAUCACCUGCCGCUCCUCCUCCCCCGCCUCCCCCGCCAGAAAGCACGUUAGCAGGAAACUGGAUUGGAAGUGGAGGAACCAGGACUCGAACCAGGCACUCCGAUGUAGGAUGUGGGCAUCCCAAGUGGUGACUUAAGAUACUGUGCCAAACACUUGUCCUGAAUUUGGCCAAUUAGGAAUUUCAUGCAAUUCCAACAACAGCAAUGUGGUUCAGGAAAACAUGAAGAUACAUCGAGAUUUGGGGAGAAUUUUUGGUAAGGUGGAGGUAUCAUGAUUGCCCAGUUGCAGGAGAGUUUUGGCCUCAGGCAACAAGGGGACACUGGGCAGGCAGCCUGAAACCCUGGAGCCUACACAGUCUGUCUUCCAGAGCUGAACUGUGACCUGUCAUGGUCGAGGAGGCCAAGAAAGCAGGGAGGAGAAAACAAGACAGCUACUGUGGGCAUCAGGAGAACCCAGGCAAGCUGAGUGGCCAAGAGGAAGCCAAGCAUUCCAGUGGACAGACCAAGCGCAGCCUCUGACAGGAGAGCCAGCAGGCAGGGAUGGACAGCACCCUGGCCACCACCCCCACGCCUUUGGCCCUGCUCUCUGGACAGCUGCAUGCCUGGAGUCCACCUCCAGGUCCCCAAAUCAAACCUGGCAGAUGACAGGUAAACUAGCUCAGAGUCAAUUCAACAAGGACAGUGCGUGUCCACUUUCUCCAUAAGGAAUCAAUGUUCACCUCUCCCAGCACGCAUCGCUUCCUAACACUGAGGCAUCCUGAUAUGGAGUAAACAAGGAAGCUGAGAAUCAGCAUCUAUGUUUUAGAUCGGAGA